GACGAACGCUGGCGGCGUGCUUAACACAUGCAAGUCGAACGGAAAGGCCCUGCUUUUGUGGGGUGCUCGAGUGGCGAACGGGUGAGUAACACGUGAGUAACCUGCCCUUGACUUUGGGAUAACUUCAGGAAACUGGGGCUAAUACCGGAUAGGAGCUCCUGCUGCAUGGUGGGGGUUGGAAAGUUUCGGCGGUUGGGGAUGGACUCGCGGCUUAUCAGCUUGUUGGUGGGGUAGUGGCUUACCAAGGCUUUGACGGGUAGCCGGCCUGAGAGGGUGACCGGCCACAUUGGGACUGAGAUACGGCCCAGACUCCUACGGGAGGCAGCAGUGGGGAAUAUUGCACAAUGGGCGGAAGCCUGAUGCAGCAACGCCGCGUGCGGGAUGAUGGCCUUCGGGUUGUAAACCGCUUUCGCCUGUAACGAAGCGUGAGUGACGGUAAUGGGUAAAGAAGCACCGGCUAACUACGUG
RNAcentral lists this ribosomal RNA (468 nucleotides) under uncultured bacterium. RNAcentral's name for it is "partial 16S ribosomal RNA". It matches the Rfam family "Bacterial small subunit ribosomal RNA", at positions 28 to 507 of the family's 1533-position model. The record is from RNAcentral.